GGGAGUUGGAGUUGGACUCUUGGGUGCCUGUGCUGGCUCUGUCGUUUGAUGGUAUCUUGGGAACACCGUCGUGGGUGUGCACCCGUGUGGAAAUGGAUCAUUUCUACUUAUCCUACUUACCCCUUAGUUUCAACAAGUAGGUGGUGCGGUGGAGACUGGGGAGGGGCUGGGGGGUGGGCAGCAGGUCCUUGCAUAUCAGUCACUGUCACUUUAUGUUCUGGGGACUACCCCUGUUCUCCAAGGACUGACUUUUCACAGUUGGAAUUUCCAGCCCUCGGGAGACAGAGAAGGCAAAGGGACAAAGCACUUGGGAGGUAGCAGCCUUCUAAAAGAAACACUGCCUCUGCUUGGGGACACGUACUGAGGAAGGCGGAAGAGGGAGAGGAGGAGAAACUCCUGAGUGCUGACCCACAGGGGCCCCUUUUAUGGCCUUCCUGUUUAUGGCUGAGAAGUAAACAGCCUGGGAGCCAGGUCGUCUCCGACGGCAGCUGGGGCACUGCUCGAGCUGGCUGGGGACCCUCUCUUUCUGGGUGGCAAUGGGCGGGGAAUCUGCCAGUCACGAAAGUCUCAGAGGACUUAUUUUUUUUUAAACCAGCAUCUUGGGGCAUUUUCCCUUCAGCUCACACCAUCUGCUUUACCCUCCUCAUUGGUCCUGCAGCUUUCGGUGGUGGAGGGGGGUGCAGGGGGGCACAGCUGGGAAUCUGUGUGUGCAGGCAAGGGGUGAGGAUCCCAGCUGUGACACUUAGCAGCUGUGUGACCUCAGGCGAGCCCUGCACCUCUCUGAGCCUCUUCUGUAGCUGGGUAGGAGGAUGUGGAGACUGCCUGUGAACAGCCCUGACAACUUGCCUGGCAUGUGGUAAGUGUCAAUACACCCCUGAUGAUUUCAACUGCCCUCCUGACUAAGCCCCCAGGGUCUUAGCUGACGGGAGGGGGUGGGGGGCUGAGAGGGGGAGGAGGGGUCAGGCCCACCUCUGAGAGGUUCCCUGGCCUCGGUCCAGACAGCCGCUCUCUCUCUGGAUCGGAACCUGCGGUACUCUGCCUCCUGAGAAAUGUGGGCUGUAAUGGACGACUAGAUGGUGCCCCAACUAAGAUGAAGAACACGGCGCCGGGGGCAGCAGACACCAGGAGAAUCAAUAAACUAUAAUUAUCAAGAGCGGUGUCUGUGAGA
RNAcentral lists this long non-coding RNA (1168 nucleotides) under Bos mutus (wild yak). RNAcentral describes it as "lncRNA (ENSBMUG00000010051.1)". Lineage: Eukaryota; Metazoa; Chordata; Mammalia; Artiodactyla; Bovidae. The record is from RNAcentral.